This 73-nucleotide transfer RNA is filed under the name Fukomys damarensis (Damara mole-rat). It matches the Rfam family "tRNA". From Rfam's summary of the family: Transfer RNA (tRNA) molecules are approximately 80 nucleotides in length. Their secondary structure includes four short double-helical elements and three loops (D, anti-codon, and T loops). The record is from Rfam by way of RNAcentral. Lineage: Eukaryota; Metazoa; Chordata; Mammalia; Rodentia; Bathyergidae.
GGAGAUUUAGCUCAGUGGUUCCAGCACCUGCCUCACAAGCUCGAGGACCUGAGUUCGAUCCCCAGUACCUCCC